CUCCACUGCGAGUGUCAUCACGUGGAUGCGUCCACCAAAACUAAUGAAUACGAUCGUCCACCACCACAAUCGUCCCAGUCGCUAGAUCUUUUCUCGGUAACUUGUCAUUGAUCUUCGUACAUUAUAAAAUUACAUAGAAAACGGGACCUGCUUGCACAAGCGUUGAGGAGAUUCCGGUGUGGAGAAGCGCUACAGCGAGGCACUCACCAUGCGCCUCUGUGGCUUCACGACAGGACGUGUAGAACCAUUCAUUUUGUGGUAUAGUCCACAGGCGUUGCACAGGUAGUGUCCUGUACCGUCUCUCCGCCACAGGGGUGUUGAGAUAGACCCGCAGUUGACACACUCCCGUGCUUCACCAUAUCCAGCGUAUUCAGGUGAGUCUCCGGCUGCAAGAA
Long non-coding RNA from Ornithodoros turicata, 395 nucleotides. RefSeq lists it as uncharacterized. The transcript has 3 exons. The record is from RefSeq and is a predicted model, not a curated record. Lineage: Eukaryota; Metazoa; Arthropoda; Arachnida; Ixodida; Argasidae.